Molecule: ribosomal RNA, 281 nt
Filed under: uncultured bacterium
Lineage: Bacteria
Description: partial 16S ribosomal RNA
Rfam family: Bacterial small subunit ribosomal RNA
Source: RNAcentral
GAUGAACGCUAGCGGCAGGCUUAAUACAUGCAAGUCGAACGGUAAGUUUGGUAGCAAUAUCAAACCAAGAGUGACGUACGGGUGCGUAACACGUAUGCAACCUACCUUGUACAGGAGUAUAGCUCGGGGAAACUCGAAUUAACCCUCCAUGAGAUCAUAGAAUGGCAUCAUUUAGUGAUUAAAACUCAGGUGGUACAAGAUGGGCAUGCGUCUGAUUAGAGUUGGCGGGGUAAUGGCCCACCAAGACGAUGAUCAGUAGGGGACCUGAGAGGGUGAUCCCC